RNAcentral lists this ribosomal RNA (461 nucleotides) under uncultured bacterium. RNAcentral's name for it is "partial 16S ribosomal RNA". It matches the Rfam family "Bacterial small subunit ribosomal RNA", at positions 29 to 507 of the family's 1533-position model. The record is from RNAcentral.
ACGAACGCUGGCGGCGUGCUUAACACAUGCAAGUCGAGCGGAAAGGCCCUUCGGGGUACUCGAGCGGCGAACGGGUGAGUAACACGUGAGUAACCUGCCCCAGACUUUGGGAUAACCCUCGGAAACGGGGGCUAAUACCGGAUACGACACAGCUUCGCAUGGGGUCUGUGUGGAAAGUUUUUCGGUUUGGGAUGGGCUCGCGGCCUAUCAGCUUGUUGGUGGGGUGAUGGCCUACCAAGGCGACGACGGGUAGCCGGCCUGAGAGGGCGACCGGCCACACUGGGACUGAGACACGGCCAAGACUCAUACGGGAGGCAGCAGUGGGGAAUAUUGCACAAUGGGCGGAAGCCUGAUGCAGCGACGCCGCGUGAGGGAUGACGGCCUUCGGGUUGUAAACCUCUUUCAGCAGGGACGAAGAGUAAGUGACGGUACCUGCAGAAGAAGCGCCGGCCAACUACGUG